This is a long non-coding RNA of Lepisosteus oculatus (spotted gar), 621 nucleotides long. RefSeq lists it as uncharacterized. The record is from RefSeq and is a predicted model, not a curated record. Lineage: Eukaryota; Metazoa; Chordata; Actinopteri; Semionotiformes; Lepisosteidae.
UACACUAGGAUGGCUGUGACUACCCUUUCACCCACAGCGCUGGGGCCCAGGGUUCAAUUCUGCAGCAGAAGGCCUUUAGAGCGACUCCGCUCUAAAUCCAAAGUUUAUUUUCACAUCUUGACCUUGCAGAGUUUCUGAUAAGGAGCAGUGAAGAUACUCUCAACAUGCGCCAAACACAAUCUUUUGUUAAAGGAGUCUUCCAACAGGUCUGCCGAGAUCCAAACAGGAUUUACUGCUGAACAAAGCCCUCCACCAUUCUCUCAGACUCCACUUCAGAUGUUUCCUGAACCACAGGAGACAGCAAUUUCACCUCUCAACAGUCAACACUACCCCUGAAGUCCUCCAAGCACACAGAUCAUUUUCAUACAGACGAUGAGCUACAACCGCUUUCCUGAUGUGGCCAAGCUGGUGUAGUAAUCCUCAUCAGCUCUCGUAUUAAUUAGUCCCAUCGGGGCUAAUUAAUAUGGCAACUGGGUGUUGAUUAUGUAUUUUCACCAACCACAGUGGUAUUAAGUUACGACUGUGAGAUCUGCCAACAAAAUGUUAGUCUGCUAUUGGCAACAUGCUUGAAGGAGUCCUUGUGUUGAAUGAAUCAUUAAAGUAAGAGACAUGCAUUACAUA